GGACGAACGCUGGCGGCGUGCUUAAUACAUGCAAGUCGAACGGUCCUUUCUAUGGAAGCUUGCUUCCACUGAGAAGAUAGUGGCGAACGGGUGAGUAACACGUGGGUAACCUGCCCAUAAGAGGGGGGAUAACAUCCGGAAACGGGUGCUAAUACCGCAUAGUUUUCUUGAUCGCAUGAUUGAGAAAGGAAAGACGGCCUUUGUGCUGUCGCUUAUGGAUGGACCCGCGGCGUAUUAGUUAGUUGGUGAGGUAACGGCUCACCAAGACGAUGAUACGUAGCCGACCUGAGAGGGUGAUCGGCCACAUUGGGACUGAGACACGGCCCAAACUCCUACGGGAGGCAGCAGUAGGGAAUCUUCCGCAAUGGACGAAAGUCUGACGGAGCAACGCCGCGUGAGUGAAGAAAGGUUUUCGGAUCGUAAAACUCUGUUGUCAGAGAAGAACAAGUUGGAGAGUAACUGCUCCAGCCUUGACGGUAUCUGACCUGAAAGCCACGGCUAACUACGUGCCAGCAGCGGC
RNAcentral lists this ribosomal RNA (520 nucleotides) under uncultured bacterium. Its description in RNAcentral is "bacterial SSU rRNA". It matches the Rfam family "Bacterial small subunit ribosomal RNA", at positions 27 to 518 of the family's 1533-position model. The record is from RNAcentral.